CCCUGCCAUUUGUACACACCGCCCGUCGCUCCUACCGAUUGGAUGGUCCGGUGAACUGGUCGGACUGAUAAUUGUCACUGCGGGUGCAGUAGCAUUACGGAAAGUCCGGUGAACCUUAUCAUCUAGAG
Molecule: ribosomal RNA, 128 nt
Filed under: uncultured eukaryote
Lineage: Eukaryota
Description: partial small subunit ribosomal RNA
Rfam family: Eukaryotic small subunit ribosomal RNA
Source: RNAcentral